CAGCCCCUGAAGAUGCUAAUGAGUUUAGCGAAACGUUGGGCAACAAUAGUGGAAUAACUUUGUUUUAUUUGCACUAAAGGAUGCAAGAUCGGACAAGCCUAUUAAAAUAUUAAAAUUUAAAAAACAUAAAUACGAACCGAUCGGAACCAAAAAAUAGAUAUCAUUAAAUUAUUUUUCCUAUUUGUAUAAAAGCGCGGGGUGAAACCCGCGGGUAUAAGCUAGUAUACUUAUCCAACGUUUAACAUAAUCGAGGAAGUACGUUUUGGGAAGUCGAGUGCCAAUGCUCUGGAGAUAAUAACUUCAGACAAAGUUUUAGACUGAAUAGCAGUGCUUUUAAAGAAUUAUGCAGUUUUCUGGAUCACCUAAAGAGAAAGGAAACAAGAUUCCAUAAUACCAUCUGCUUGGAGAAACGAGUUGCCAUCGCCCUAUAUGCUCUUGGGUCCUCAGCGGAAUAUCGUAGCAUUGCGAACUUGUUUGGAGUGGCCAAAUCAACAGUAUGCGCAGCUCUCUUGGAAUUUUGUAGGGAAGUGUGGAAAGUGUUACACCCAAUGUAUUUCAACCACUUUCCCCUAAGUAGAGAAACAAUUGAAGACUGUGUUAAUGGGUUUAAACACAUUGGAUUCCCAAAGUGUAUGGGUGCUCUUGAUGGAUGCCACAUAGAAAUUCAUCCCAGACAGGAAGAAGCAGUGGAUUAUAUAUAAAGGAUGGUAUUCUACAGUGUUACUAGCACUUGUUGAUGCAAGAUAUCGUUUUUUAUACAUCAACGUGGGAAGUCCAGGAAGAUGUAAUGACUCCCAAAUCUUUGAAAAGUCCAGCUUAAAAAGGGAACCGGAGAACUGCUCACUUCUGAACACAAUGAGUACAAAUUUAGGAAAUUUUGACAUCCCAGUUGUCAUUCUUGGAGAUUCUGCCUUUCGUUUUUCCAAAUAUUUAAUGAAGCCUUUUCCAUUCAGUUUGGAUACGACGCCUGCACAAAAAGCUUUCAAUUACCAACUUUCAAAAUCUCGUAGACUGGUUAAAAAUGCUUUUGGGCAAUUGAAAGCAAGGUUUCGCCGGAUCGGAAAAGGAAUUGAUAACAGAAUUGAUAAUGCAAAUUCUAUUAUAAAGGCUUGUUGUGCCUAGCACAACUUUUUAAUAGCAGAAAAUGACCUAGUUAUACCUUCUUGGCUUAACGAGCAGCACGCUAAUGAUAUUAGGAGAAGACAACCACAAUCCGUGGACUCGCACCAAACCUUAGCAGAAGCGGAAUCAAUAAGGAAUGCGUUCUGUUCAUAUUACAAUCUGGUAGAUGUUGCUGCGCUUGAUAUUGAUGGGGGAAGUGUUGCCCCUCCCGAUCCUGACGGCAGUGGUGAUGAACACGACGGUGAUGGCGACAGCU
Rhagoletis zephyria (snowberry fruit fly) is the source of this 1378-nucleotide long non-coding RNA. RefSeq lists it as uncharacterized. The record is from RefSeq and is a predicted model, not a curated record. NCBI's taxonomy places the organism in Eukaryota, Metazoa, Arthropoda, Insecta, Diptera, Tephritidae.